Panicum virgatum (switchgrass) is the source of this 420-nucleotide long non-coding RNA. RefSeq lists it as uncharacterized. The transcript is spliced from 2 exons. The record is from RefSeq and is a predicted model, not a curated record. Lineage: Eukaryota; Viridiplantae; Streptophyta; Magnoliopsida; Poales; Poaceae.
AGCUGUAACUCGUUGGCCCAACGGGUUGAUAGCGUCGACCCGACGCGACCCCAUCCUGCGCCGCCAGCUCCUCCGCUUGGGCGCGGAGGCGAGUGAGCGGCGGCGGCGGGCGCGCCGUCUUCCCCCGACAGCGGCGACUCCGGCGGAUCUCCACUCCGAUGCUGAGGCGUUAGUGCACCAAGAUGUUGACGCACCAGGACCAUAGAGGAAUACGGGAGCAGAACUUUCAAACUGGUGAAGGCAUUAUGUAGAACUUUCAAACUUGUCUUGAGAAGUAACGUUGGGUGUAGUUACAAGAAUGGAUGUUGCUGGUUUUGCUUGUAACUUGCUUAUGAUACUUAAAAAAUAGAGUCGAAGCCUGUUGAAUUUAACUUUCAAUUUAAGUCAUGGUUAUGAAUAAUGAUGUUUGAAAUGAUUGCA